CGCAUUAAGCAUUCCGCCUGGGGAGUACGGCCGCAAGGCUGAAACUCAAAGGAAUUGACGGGGGCCCGCACAAGCGGUGGAGCAUGUGGUUUAAUUCGAAGCUACGCGAAGAACCUUACCAGGUCUUGACAUACUAUGCAAAUCUAAGAGAUUAGACGUUCCCUUCGGGGACAUGGAUACAGGUGGUGCAUGGUUGUCGUCAGCUCGUGUCGUGAGAUGUUGGGUUAAGUCCCGCAACGAGCGCAACCCUUAUUAUCAGUUGCCAGCAUUAAGUUGGGCACUCUGGUGAGACUGCCGGUGACAAACCGGAGGAAGGUGGGGAUGACGUCAAAUCAUCAUGCCCCUUAUGACCUGGGCUACACACGUGCUACAAUGGAUGGUACAACGAGUUGCGAACUCGCGAGAGUAAGCUAAUCUCUUAAAGCCAUUCUCAGUUCGGAUUGUAGGCUGCAACUCGCCUACAUGAAGUCGGAAUCGCUAGUAAUCGCGGAUCAGCAUGCCGCGGUGAAUACGUUCCCGGGCCUUGUACACACCGCCCGUCACACCAUGAGAGUUUGUAACACCCAAAGUCGGUGGGGUAACCUUUUAGGAACCAGCCGCCUAAGGUGGGACAGAUGAUUAGGGUGAAGUCGUAACAA
RNAcentral lists this ribosomal RNA (638 nucleotides) under Lactiplantibacillus plantarum. RNAcentral describes it as "bacterial SSU rRNA". It matches the Rfam family "Bacterial small subunit ribosomal RNA", at positions 856 to 1494 of the family's 1533-position model. The record is from RNAcentral. Lineage: Bacteria; Bacillati; Bacillota; Bacilli; Lactobacillales; Lactobacillaceae.